Molecule: ribosomal RNA, 239 nt
Filed under: uncultured Lactobacillus sp.
Lineage: Bacteria; Bacillati; Bacillota; Bacilli; Lactobacillales; Lactobacillaceae
Description: partial 16S ribosomal RNA
Rfam family: Bacterial small subunit ribosomal RNA
Source: RNAcentral
AACCUGCCCAAGAGAUCGGGAUAACGCCUGGAAACAGAUGCUAAUACCGGAUAACAACAGAUGAUGCCUAUCAACUGUUUAAAAGAUGGUUCUGCUAUCACUCUUGGAUGGACCUGCGGUGCAUUAGCUAGUUGGUAGGGUAACGGCCUACCAAGGCGAUGAUGCAUAGCCGAGUUGAGAGACUGAUCGGCCACAUUGGGACUGAGACACGGCCCAAACUCCUACGGGAGGCAGCAGCC